Molecule: unclassified non-coding RNA, 669 nt
Filed under: Hevea brasiliensis (rubber tree)
Lineage: Eukaryota; Viridiplantae; Streptophyta; Magnoliopsida; Malpighiales; Euphorbiaceae
Source: RNAcentral
AAAACUCAACAAAAAUGAGUAGUAGUAUUGUUUGUAUGAAUGUUGACAAUGUUUUUAUAGAAGGGUUCCACAAACCCCAAACAUCUUUCGAUUAUCUACUAAGCACACAAUACUGGCUACCCAAAAUACUCUCACCUUAAAUUAAUUACUGAAAGGCUACAAACUAUCUAUUGAAUGCCACACUACUUGUCAGCAUGCCUGCGCUUGUGCCUACGAGUUGCAUGGUUUGCAUGGGCACCCUUGGUUGGUUUCCUUUUUUUUGGACAGAAAGUAGCUGAAAUGAGUCUAUACAAAAAAAGGAUAGGAAUUGCCAACAACACAGAUGCCAUAAACCAGACCAGAUCCUUAGUUGCAAGAAAUUUUGUUAGUUCAUACUUCUUUAAAUUCUCCAUGACAGCGGCUUGAACCUGAUGAUGAUAUACUGAUGUUGACUUAAGAAUCCUUUUAUAUGUGCGAACAACAUGUUUCGUAUAGGGCUUUAAAACAAGUCGCACUUUUUCAACAUGAGGUUUGGUGACAAUAGCAACUUGAUCAACAUAGGGCUUCGAGAACUUCUUUGCUUCCUGAAAGUAAGGAACUGUCAGUUCUUGUACUUUUGUGAUAUGUGGUGCAGUGGCACUCUUAGAUGCCUCGUAAAACUCGAUGGUUUUCGUAGAUACCAUCUGAAAA